UACAGAGGGUGCGAGCGUUAAUCGGAAUAACUGGGCGUAAAGGGCGCGUAGGCGGUUUUGAAAGUAAGCUGUGAAAUCCCUGGGCUUAACCUAGGAAUUGCAGCUUAGACUAUGAAGCUAGAGUACAGUAGAGGGUGGCGGAAUUUCCGGUGUAGCGGUGAAAUGCGUAGAGAUCGGAAGGAACAUCAGUGGCGAAGGCGGCCACCUGGACUGUGUCUGACGCUGAGGCGCGAGAGCGUGGGGAGCAAACAGG
This 253-nucleotide ribosomal RNA is filed under the name uncultured bacterium. RNAcentral's name for it is "partial 16S ribosomal RNA". It matches the Rfam family "Bacterial small subunit ribosomal RNA", at positions 524 to 776 of the family's 1533-position model. The record is from RNAcentral.